GUUAAUUUACUGUGUGUAUCGCCAUUUUGAUGAAAUUCAGAAGCUAAUGCUUUUAACAAUUUCACAUAAUUUAAGUGUUUCAAUAAAGAUAUUACAACACGUAAUCAACUAUUAUGUAUUGUUUGUUGCGUUAGGUUUUACAAUAACGCUACAAUCUUCGAUGUGCAGAUCAGAUGCAAAGAGGCUUUGUUAAAAGUAUAAUUACAGAAUUAUGUUUAUUAGAAAUACAUAAAUAGGGGUAUUACAAUAUUACCAUUACUUUUGAAUACUCUUACACACAUACAUAAUAUACACAACUAUGAAGCUUGAAAGUCUCUGAAUUUGUACCUACUCGAUUGACUGCAAAAUUUUAAGAUUUUCAAACGCUUCAAUUAUGAGCAGUGAUAAAUAAUAGACGAAAGGAAACUAUUACAAAAAGAGUUACUAACUGCAGAAAAAAGGAAAUAAAAAAAAAGAAAUGACAUGAUAAGAAGUAUUUAGUCAACCAAAUAGUUAAGUAUGUAACCGAAACAUAAUCAUUUUCAAAUUUAUGG
Agrilus planipennis (emerald ash borer) is the source of this 533-nucleotide long non-coding RNA. RefSeq lists it as uncharacterized. NCBI's taxonomy places the organism in Eukaryota, Metazoa, Arthropoda, Insecta, Coleoptera, Buprestidae. The transcript has 3 exons. The record is from RefSeq and is a predicted model, not a curated record.